CGGAUCGUAAAACUCUGUUGUUAGGGAAGAACAAGUACCAUUCGAAUAGGGCGGUACCUUGACGGUMCCUAACMARAAASCCACGGCUAACUACKUGCCASCASCCSCGGUAAUACKUAGGUGGCAASCGUUGUCCGGAAUUAUUGGGCGUAAAGGGCUCGCAGGCGGCUUCUUAAGUCUGAUGUGAAAGCCCCCGGCUCAACCGGGGAGGGUCAUUGGAAACUGGAGAACUUGAGUGCAGAAGAGGAGAGUGGAAUUCCACGUGUAGCGGUGAAAUGCGUAGAGAUGUGGAGGAACACCAGUGGCGAAGGCGACUCUCUGGUCUGUAACUGACGCUGAGGAGCGAAAGCGUGGGGAGCGAACAGGAUUAGAUACCCUGGUAGUCCACGCCGUAA
This 395-nucleotide ribosomal RNA is filed under the name uncultured Bacillus sp. Its description in RNAcentral is "partial 16S ribosomal RNA". It matches the Rfam family "Bacterial small subunit ribosomal RNA", at positions 419 to 805 of the family's 1533-position model. Lineage: Bacteria; Bacillati; Bacillota; Bacilli; Caryophanales; Bacillaceae. The record is from RNAcentral.